GUGAAGAACGUAGCGAAAUGCGAUAAGUAAUGUGAAUUGCAGAAUUCAGUGAAUCAUCGAAUCUUUGAACGCACAUUGCGCCCGCCAGUAUUCUGGCGGGCAUGCCUGUUCGAGCGUCAUUACAACCCUCAGGCCCCCGGGCCUGGCGUUGGGGAUCGGCAGAAGCCCCCUGUGGGCACACGCCGUCCCUCAAAUACAGUGGCGGUCCCGCCGCAGCUUCCAUUGCGUAGUAGCUAACACCUCGCAACUGGAGAGCGGCGCGGCCAUGCCGUAAAACACCCAACUUCUGAAUGUUGACCUCGAAUCAGGUAGGAAUACCCGCUGAACUUAAGCAUAUCAAUAAGCGGAGGA
This 351-nucleotide unclassified non-coding RNA is filed under the name soil metagenome. Its description in RNAcentral is "partial contains 5.8S ribosomal RNA, internal transcribed spacer 2, and large subunit ribosomal RNA". The stretch from base 2 to 119 matches the Rfam family "5.8S ribosomal RNA", at positions 37 to 154 of the family's 154-position model. The record is from RNAcentral.